GUAGUAUCAGCUACUUCUUCCCAUAGCUCUUUGUCCCAAAUGAUGUGAUCAGAGCAAGUUUGUCUUUGAUUGGGAAAAAAAAAAAAAAAAAAAAGAAUCCAUGCUGGAGCCAGCUUUACCUUCUGCCCUGCCAGGUAAGAAGCAAACCUUCUAGCAACUUCACCCUUGGAGUCCGAGAAGGAUGGGAAAUUCCCCUGGAAGCCCAGAAAGAACCGAGGCCAAACUCUGGGCUUUUUCUGAGCAAACAUUUUGAGAGAAACCAAAGUGAUGAUGAUGUGGAAGAGCGGCCGGGGCUGUCCCCUCGAACAGCAGCAAGACUGAUGAAAACACAGGGAUUAGAACAGAUGAAUCAUUGCCAGUCCUCUCCCUGACGGCGUUUGCUAGUGGCAACCCGAUAAAUACCGGAUCUCCGAAAGCGCUGACAAGCUACCCACCAGGCCUGGGAGUUAGAUGGCUUUUGAAAUUGGUGGGAGGAGAAAGCGGGGAGUGAAGACACGGAGGCGUACCCCCCCUUCCAGAAUUCACAUUCUUCCUUUUGAUACUAAAAGACUCAGGCCAAGUAACCUGCCAAAAUUCAUCAAGCUGUGUCGCUUCCCAACGCCCUGGUCCCUCGCCUGCACAGCUUCCUUAGACCUGGGAAGAAAGCAAGAUGUUCUGUGCAGGGUUAGAAAAGAGAGGAGCUCAACUUUGAAAGGGAGCGUGAAUCCAGGAGGACUUCGUGUGUCUCUAUCGCUUGACAUAGAUCUUAAGAGAAGGGUGUGAUUUCCCCCAGGUGGAUUGGGGGAGGGCAUUUUGGAGAGGGAGAACACAUAGGGAACGUGCCUGGUGUGCUGGGUGGGUGGUUGGGUCAGAAGGUCAGGCGAGUGCGGGACAGAGGGGGCCCAUGUGAAGGGUGGUUCCACAUGGAUGGACGUGAACACGGGCCGUCAGGCGUGGGGGUCUGUGCGCACACAGCUGGCACUGCAGAGCUCAGAGGAGGAUUUUCAGGUGGAGCCUGGCUAGAGAAGUUUCCCAUUAUCCCCAGAGCCUCUGCGGCUGAGAGAAGGAGGAGUCAAGAACACAGGUUUUGGGUUAAACUGGCUUCAGUUUGAGGCCUAACCCUACCGUGAAUUAGUUAUCAUCUUGGGCAAGAGGCUCAUCCUCUUACAUGAGGAUCCUCAUCAUCCUUCUAACACUUAGAACAGGCCUGGCAUACAGUAAGUGCUUAGUAUAAGUUAACAAUGAUGAUGAUGAUGAUGAUGAUGAUGAUGAAGAAGAAGAAGAAGAAUGUAACAAAGGAGGGGUGGAAGAGGAGAAGAGGAGGAAGGGGAAGAGAAUUGGUUGUAAUAUAGAGGAGAGGGUGACUUCAGGAGUCAAAGCUUAACUAAAGAAGAAAGAGUCAUGACGUCUGUGCAGCUAGUACGAUUCUGGGCAAGUUCUGGAGACAUGGUCAGGAGCCUCUCCAUGGCCAAGACUCUUGUCUUUUGCUUUGUGUGGUCUGUGAUAGUUCUCAGUACCUCGCUGCAGCUAUAAUAAAUGCAUAUGAAGAGACCCCA
RNAcentral lists this long non-coding RNA (1535 nucleotides) under Vulpes vulpes (red fox). RNAcentral's name for it is "lncRNA (ENSVVUG00000003820.1)". The record is from RNAcentral. Lineage: Eukaryota; Metazoa; Chordata; Mammalia; Carnivora; Canidae.